UCCGGGGUAGCUCAAUCGGCAGAGCGGUGGCCUGUUAAGCCAAAGGUUGUGGGUUCGAGUCCCACCCCCGGAG
RNAcentral lists this transfer RNA (73 nucleotides) under Acidimicrobiales bacterium. Its description in RNAcentral is "tRNA-Asn". It matches the Rfam family "tRNA". From Rfam's summary of the family: Transfer RNA (tRNA) molecules are approximately 80 nucleotides in length. Lineage: Bacteria; Bacillati; Actinomycetota; Acidimicrobiia; Acidimicrobiales. The record is from RNAcentral. RNAcentral also lists the same sequence under 1 other name.